Molecule: long non-coding RNA, 1500 nt
Organism: Girardinichthys multiradiatus
Lineage: Eukaryota; Metazoa; Chordata; Actinopteri; Cyprinodontiformes; Goodeidae
Exons: 3
Source: RefSeq, a predicted model, not a curated record
GUCCAUAUGAGGACACGAUCUGCUCGCAAUGUCAGUAUACAUUAUAUAUACGAAUAUACACCUUGAUAAUCAUCUGCAUCUGGACUUCUUUGGCACCCCAGGCCAUCUACUGUCUCUGUUCUCAGAUGCGAAGUGAUCAAGUCGUUCCAGUCUUCAUCAUCAACCUUCUCCUCGCAGACAGCCUUCAGAUUUUCUGUAUGAUUGCGAAAGUGGCAUGCUUAACACAUUAUGUUUGGUUUUUCGAGUACUGGGGUGCGAUAGCCAGUGUUUUUUUCAUGACUUUUAUUGCCAUGCAAAGGUAUUUCCUUAUUGCCUGGCCGUUUUGGUACAGAUUCAGCCGAAGACUCAAGGUUUCGGCAUCAGCCAGCGCUGUCAGCUGGAUCCUUUCUAUUUAUAUUGGUUUCAAUGAUGGAGGCUGGCUGGCAGCCGUUCCCCUGCCCCUGUUCAUAUUCUUCCUUGUUCAGACCCUUAAAGCACUGUCUACAUCCCAUAAUGUCCCAUCAGAUGAAAAACGACAAAUUGUUGCAGUUGGGACUGUGGUGGUGUUCACUUACACUCUGACAUUCGUGCCCUAUAUUAUUAGAAAGGUAUUCUCAAAGUGGUGCCGGAGUUGUCACUAUACCAGAUACACAAACCUUCUCAUUUUGUCUUACAUCGUAACUCAGAUAAGUCCUCUGACAGACUUACUUCUGUACAUUCUUAUCAAGAAAUGGGUCUUUGACAAACUGCUGGCUUUUCUGUGUUCUUGCAGAAACACUAAGGAUGUGGAGCCACAGACAACCAGCAUUACAACAACAUCUACCUGGUCAGCUUCUCACAGGCAGACAGAAGCAGAAAAUAACCCUUGAAAUAUAAAAUCAUUAAACACAUCAGACAUAAACAUUUAAUCCAUGCAAAGAAGCAAUACAGCAUCUAAUACUUCAAAAUGCAACCUGCAUGUGAAAAAUUUUGUUUUUUUUUAUGACAAAAUCAACCUUUUACCUUUGGAAGGAUGAAAUGAAAAAUAUGUUUGUAUAGAUUUCCUAAUAAGGGGUUGUGCUCGUGUUUGUACAGUAUUCAUCAUGUGUACAGUUUAGAACAUGUAUGUUGUGUAUUUGUUAAAACAUGUUUAUUAUUUUUGUCAACUGCAGUUCUUUAAAAAAAAACUUUCAUAAAAAAGUUUAGAAAAACUACAGUUGUUUCAAAACCUUUACAAUAGAUUUAUUUAACUAAUUAUUUAACCGUGGCUACAUCUGCUUUUAAGAAUGGUUUACGCAAACAUUUUAUUUUCAGAAGUUUUAAGAACUUGUGAAAAUGUGUAUAAAACAAAUAGUACAUGAAUAGUUUGUUUAUGAAUAUAUUUAGUUUCCUAUUCUUUGUUUUAUUCUGAUAAAGCAAACAUGGUUGAAAGCAACAUUUGUUUCUUUAUCUUGUUGGCUGUCGCCUUUGUAUGCAUUAAAUCUGAAUAUUAUUGGGACUGGUUUCUGCAUUAUACCCAAUUAAAAACAAUGACAAACACAA